GGCUUUAUAGUCUAAAUAAUUAUGAUGUUAGAUUGCAAAUCUAGAGAUGUUCUUUAACUAAAGCCU
RNAcentral lists this transfer RNA (66 nucleotides) under Homoeocerus unipunctatus. RNAcentral's name for it is "tRNA-Cys". It matches the Rfam family "tRNA". From Rfam's summary of the family: Transfer RNA (tRNA) molecules are approximately 80 nucleotides in length. Their secondary structure includes four short double-helical elements and three loops (D, anti-codon, and T loops). Lineage: Eukaryota; Metazoa; Arthropoda; Insecta; Hemiptera; Coreidae. The record is from RNAcentral.